RNAcentral lists this ribosomal RNA (253 nucleotides) under uncultured bacterium. RNAcentral's name for it is "partial 16S ribosomal RNA". It matches the Rfam family "Bacterial small subunit ribosomal RNA", at positions 524 to 776 of the family's 1533-position model. The record is from RNAcentral.
GACAGAGGUGCCAAGCGUUAGGCGGAAUCACUGGGCUUAAAGCGUGUGUAGGCGGGUGCCUAAGUACCUUGUGAAAUCCCACGGCUCAACCGUGGAACUGCUGGGUAUACUGGUUGUCUUGAGCCAGCUAGGGGCGAGCGGAACAGACGGUGGAGCGGUGAAAUGCGUAGAUAUCGUCUGGAACGCCGAAGGUGAAAACAGCUCGCUGGGGCUGCGCUGACGCUGAGACACGAAAGCCAGGGGAGCGAACGGG